This 497-nucleotide ribosomal RNA is filed under the name uncultured bacterium. Its description in RNAcentral is "partial 16S ribosomal RNA". It matches the Rfam family "Bacterial small subunit ribosomal RNA", at positions 28 to 507 of the family's 1533-position model. The record is from RNAcentral.
GAUGAACGCUGGCGGCGUGCCUAAUACGUGCAAGUCGAGCGAACAGACGAGGAGCUUGCUCCUUCGACGUUAGCGGCGGACGGGUGAGUAACACGUAGGUAACCUACCUAUAAGACUGGGAUAACUUCGGGAAACCGGAGCUAAUACCGGAUAAUAUUUCGAACCGCAUGGUUCGAUAGUGAAAGAUGGCUUUGCUAUCACUUAUAGAUGGACCUGCGCCGUAUUAGCUAGUUGGUAAGGUAACGGCUUACCAAGGCAACGAUCCGUAGCCGACCUGAGAGGGUGAUCGGCCACACUGGAACUGAGACACGGUCCAGACUCCUACGGGAGGCAGCAGUAGGGAAUCUUCCGCAAUGGGCGAAAGCCUGACGGAGCAACGCCGCGUGAGUGAUGAAGGUCUUCGGAUCGUAAAACUCUGUUAUUAGGGAAGAACAAACGUGUAAGUAACUGUGCACGUCUUGACGGUACCUAAUCAGAAAGCCACGGCUAACUACGUG